CAAUAGCGUAUAUUAAAGUUGUUGCAGUUAAAAAGCUCGUAGUUGGAUUUGUGGCGUACGGUGGGUUCCGGGCACUUGUUGUCUGAGUAACUUGCUGUUGCCAUCCUUGGGUGGAACCUGUGUGGCAUUAGGUUGUCGUGCAGGGGAUGCCCAUCAUUUACUGUGAAAAAAUUAGAGUGUUCAAAGCAGGCUUAUGCCGUUGAAUAUAUUAGCAUGGAAUAAUGAGAUAGGACUUUUUUGCUAUUUUGCUGGUUUGCGCAAAGAGGUAAUGAUUAAUAGGGACAGUUGGGGGUAUUCGUAUUCCAUUGUCAGAGGUGAAAUUCUUGGAUUUUUGGAAGACGAACUACUGCGAAAGCAUUUACCAAGGAUGUUUUCAUUAA
This 380-nucleotide ribosomal RNA is filed under the name uncultured eukaryote. Its description in RNAcentral is "partial 18S ribosomal RNA". It matches the Rfam family "Eukaryotic small subunit ribosomal RNA", at positions 592 to 976 of the family's 1831-position model. The record is from RNAcentral.